AACGGGUGAGUAACACGUAGGAAACCUACCUCUUAGCAGGGGAUAACAUUUGGAAACAAAUGCUAAUACCGUAUAAUAAUUAAAACCGCAUGGUUUUAGUUUAAAAGAUGGUCUUGCUAUCACUAAGAGAUGGUCCCGCGGUGUAUUAGUUAGUUGGUGAGGUAAUGGCUCACCAAGACAAUGAUACAUAGCCGAGUUGAGAGACUGACCGGCCACAAUGGGACUGAGACACGGCCCAUACUCCUACGGGAGGCAGCAGUAGGGAAUCUUCCACAAUGGACGAAAGUCUGAUGGAGCAACACCGCGUGUGUGAUGAAGGGUUUCGGCUCGUAAAACACUGUUGUAAGAGAAGAAUGACAUUGAGAGUAACUGUUCAAUGUGUGACGGUAUCUUACCAGAAAGGAACGGCUAAAUACGUG
This 419-nucleotide ribosomal RNA is filed under the name uncultured bacterium. RNAcentral's name for it is "bacterial SSU rRNA". It matches the Rfam family "Bacterial small subunit ribosomal RNA", at positions 101 to 507 of the family's 1533-position model. The record is from RNAcentral.